Molecule: ribosomal RNA, 324 nt
Filed under: uncultured eukaryote
Lineage: Eukaryota
Description: partial 18S ribosomal RNA
Rfam family: Eukaryotic small subunit ribosomal RNA
Source: RNAcentral
CCCUUAGAUGUCCUGGGCUGCACGCGCGCUACACUGAUGUGUCCAGUAAGCACCUAACCUCUUCCGAAAGGAACGGGUAACCUUUGCAAAGCAAAUCGUGAUGGGGAUAGAUUAUUGCAAUUAUUAGUCUUGAACGAGGAAUUCCUAGUAAGCACAAGUCAUCAGCUUGUGUUGAUUACGUCCCUGCCCUUUGUACACACCGCCCGUCGCUCCUACCGAUUGAAUGUUCCGGUGAGCUCUUCGGACUGCGCGGUCUGCAGUUUCUGCGUUCCGUGCGGAAAGUUGCGCAAACCUUAACAUUUAGAGGAAGGAGAAGUCGUAACA